RNAcentral lists this ribosomal RNA (497 nucleotides) under uncultured bacterium. Its description in RNAcentral is "partial 16S ribosomal RNA". It matches the Rfam family "Bacterial small subunit ribosomal RNA", at positions 28 to 507 of the family's 1533-position model. The record is from RNAcentral.
GAUGAACGCUGGCGGCGUGCCUAAUACAUGCAAGUCGAGCGAACGGACGAGAAGCUUGCUUCUCUGAUGUUAGCGGCGGACGGGUGAGUAACACGUGGAUAACCUACCUAUAAGACUGGGAUAACUUCGGGAAACCGGAGCUAAUACCGGAUAAUAUUUUGAACCGCAUGGUUCAAAAGUGAAAGACGGUCUUGCCGUCACUUAUAGAUGGAUCCGCGCUGCAUUAGCUAGUUGGUAAGGUAACGGCUUACCAAGGCAACGAUGCAUAGCCGACCUGAGAGGGUGAUCGGCCACACUGGAACUGAGACACGGGCCAGACUCCUACGGGAGGCAGCAGUAGGGAAUCUUCCGCAAUGGGCGAAAGCCUGACGGAGCAACGCCGCGUGAGUGAUGAAGGUCUUCGGAUCGUAAAACUCUGUUAUUAGGGAAGAACAUAUGUGUAAGUAACUGUGCACAUCUUGACGGUACCUAAUCAGAAAGCCACGGCUAACUACGUG